Molecule: long non-coding RNA, 2974 nt
Filed under: Homo sapiens (human)
Lineage: Eukaryota; Metazoa; Chordata; Mammalia; Primates; Hominidae
Description: mir-100-let-7a-2-mir-125b-1 cluster host gene, transcript variant 15 (MIR100HG)
Source: RNAcentral
CUUUUUGCAAGCAGCUGCACUGUGAGUUCGCCUUCCAUUAGUAAAGGGACAAUGAAGGGAAGGCGAACCCCGCGUCCAAAACAUGGCCAAUGAAAGGACACUGGAAUGGAAGCCAGGAAUCCUGCUGUGGUGGAGAGGCAUAGACUCAUGAGUCCACCACAAUCGGAUACUUGCUUCUUUUUAACAGCCCUAUCAGCCGAGAGAAAUAAUGACUCCUGAAUCAUUUGACAGUAAAAAAGUUAAAAUGAUGUCUCAAUGGCGCUGCAUCAUGCCAGACGCGCGUGGAUGAUUUGAAGAUAUUAGCCUAACAAGAUGGAAGCAGGUUUAAAAUUUUACAUAAGAAGUUACCUUUUUCAGCUGGUCCUAUAGUACCCCUCCUCAGGAAUGUCUCCCCAGUGCAAGGACAAAGACUGAAGAGACUGCUAUAUUGAUGGACUCUCAAGCCAACUAUGAAGUUGAAACAAAGAAAGUGAUCACCUGAAGACACCUCCUCUGCUAAGAAACACCCCCAAAUUGUGCAGCUUCUGCCACUAGAACUCUCAGAACAAGAGACAAUCUUUUCAAGAAACAGAAAAACUCAAUAAUGACAUCUAGAUUUUCAUGAGCCAAGAACUUUCCCUUCCUCAUGUGUAUUCCUCUGUUUGUACUUAAAUUCAUGUGACAUUCAUUUUUUUCCUAGUAUGGAUAUGCUUAUUAAUGCACUUGUUUCAAAAUCCCAAAUUGCACAAAUGUGUUAAUAUUUUAAGAAACAAAAUGAAUCCUACAAGGAGAAUGAUUUUUAGCCACACAUAGGGUUGGAUCUUGAGAGUGACCUACAGAAUAAAAGUACUUUUAAAAUAAAGUAGUCAGAGGCUAUUCAAAGGGUAAAAUAAUCAUAGUACCACAUUGGUCCACUUGACACUAACCAAUCGAUCAUUUUUUUUUAAUCAAGAAAGCUAGAUUCUAUCAGAUAAAAUCACUGCUUCUAAAGAGUUUAAAUCUAGUUAGAAAAAGUUAUAGAAAUGUUUGCAAAGAUAAGUAACAGAUAGAGUCAGUAGAGGAUAAGAUCAAAAACAAAACCAAGCAAAAGAUGAGUUCAGGGGAGUUUGCCAUCAAGUUGGCAAAACUGACUUACUUAGGGAAGAAAGUUAUAAAACAGGAAAAUAUGAGAUGAACCUUGAGUGAUGUGGAAGAUUUAGAUAAAUGGAAAGGAAGGAGAAAAUGGAGUUCUUUAGGUGGUUGUAAUUGGAGGAGGAAAUGAAUACACACAUCUUGUUGACUUAAACCCAGACAUUCAGCAGCUCUCUAUACAUAUCUGGAAAAGACUGCACAGUCACCUCCUGUCUCUCACCCCAGGUAUUACUUAGAAUUAUUAUCAUAUUUCCCUUCCUUUAAAGUAAGUAAGGGUGAUUGGUGACAAUAUGGAGAACUAUGAUUUUUCCAUUAACCUAAUAAUAAUUGGUAUUUAUUGAGUUCUGUUAAGCAUUUUACAUAUUAACUCACUUAAGCCUUUCAACAGCCUUGCAAAAUAGGUAUUAUUAUCCCCAUUUUACAGGCAAGAAAACUGAGGUUUAAGUAACUUGCCGAAGUGCCAUAUACAGGGCUCACAUUCAGUAUUGCAGUUGCAAAGCUCAUGAUCUAUAGUGCCAAGUUGCAAUAUUGUAGUCAAUGUCACAAUUAUUACCCCUUUUUAUAUUCCUUGAUAUUUUUCCAUGGCAAACAAUUAGCUAUUUCAUUUAAUAAUCACCUAAAACUUUUCAGUCUUCUGAUUAAAAUUACGCUGGAGUGAUAGAAUGUAUUUUCAUGAUAGAAAUUGGGAAAAAAAAUGGGGAAUGAAGUUUAUCAGCAUUUCAGACUUGUUUUUUUUUUUUUUUUUUGCAAGACUUUGAUGAGAUUGUUCACUUUUGUCUAUGUAAAAUCCCAAAUCCUUGAGAAUAAAAAAGGGGGAGGUUUAAGUCACUUGUUGCAAUGCCCUUUUUAAUAGAGGCAAUAAAUCUAAAGGCCAUAAAUUUAGAGUGACUUACAGAAGAUCGAACUUUGGAGUGUGGCAGAGUAAGGGAUGGAAACCGGGCCCUCCAGUUCACUAUCAGUAGCUUUUGCACUGGUCUGCCCUUCCUAAAUUAAGUAUGCACUUCAAUUUGAUGAGUGGAAACAGUCUAUCUGGGCAGUAACCAGGGAGCUUUGUGCCUAGUAGAUUGCUUCUGUUCUGCACUUCUUUGGUUUCCCACCUCAAUGUAAAAAAUAGCUAGCAAUGAAGUCCAGAAGUUGUCAAUGGUUCAUCCCCAGAAGAAUGCAUAAUGUCCAAAGUUGUAUGUGUAUGAUGUCUUCAAUGGUAUUAAGUUAUUUCAAAUUCUUAGUUCACCUACAUAAAUCAUUUCUAACAAGCAUCUUCUUAACCAACUUUAUGCACAGUGUAUGUUUGUAAGUGCUUCUGCACGAAUGUUUAUACAUGACUGUUUCCAUAGUACUUAUGUUUUUAAAAAUAUUCAGUCAUUUCCUACUAUAAUCCUCAUGUAUCCAUGUAACUGACUCAAAAAUACUUCAGCCACAGAAAGCUAAAACUGAGCAAAUCUCAUUCUUCUUUUCCAUCCCCUUUGCAUGUGGCUGGCAUUUAGUAAUGAUUAAUAAUAUGGCCAGCUGAAUAACAGAGGUUUGAGACACAAUUCUUUCUCAAAGGAGUCAGCUAAGCUGGGUCUACUUAUGGACAAACAUCUAAAUGUGUGGAAGUAUCUGAUAUUUGACAAUGGUAAAUUUCCACUUAGCUAGCUAGCAUUGUCAGACUUCAAUCUCCUCAUGGCUCUGGCCGUCCUGUUUUAAGCAUGAUAAUUGUUGGCCACAUCUCACAUAGUUCUCAUUGAGUGAGUUCAUAAAUAAACAGGGUUUUUUUUUUUUUUUAAAGAGCAGCCAAGCACAAAGUGUGACUUUGUUGACAUUUUAUGUGACUUUGUCAUAUGUUCCUAACCCCCAAUAAAAGCAAUGUUGCAUCAACUGUGAA